This is a long non-coding RNA of Nothobranchius furzeri (turquoise killifish), 608 nucleotides long. RefSeq lists it as uncharacterized. Lineage: Eukaryota; Metazoa; Chordata; Actinopteri; Cyprinodontiformes; Nothobranchiidae. The record is from RefSeq and is a predicted model, not a curated record.
UGAUGACGCCCAAUAGACGAGGUCUAUUACCUUCAAAAUGAUAAAAUAUGUAUUGAUUCUAAUCAUAUUCUUGUGCUUGUAUUUUAUUUUCAUAGGGAUGAUAAUUUGGAGGAGGUGAUGGAACAAGGUGAAACUGAAAAUGAAGGAUCUUCACAAAUGAUAGUCAUCAGAUGGCACAUGGCCACCAGAGAACCAGAAGUUGAUUCGUCUUCAGAGGAGGACAAAACCAUCUAGAUGGACAGCGGUGAUGAGGACGACACACCUUAAAUACACAUAAGAUACCAUAAAAUAUUCAACAAAAAAUCUAGAUGCUGGAGGCUGUAUUCUGAGAAGGUGGCAAAAGACUACUCCUACAUCCCAGAGAUCCAAACCAUGAUCGUCAACCAACGUUUGACAAGCAAGAAAGGUCUUCCUCGACGCUACAAGCUAAGGCCUGAGGAUCCAAGGCGUUACGGUUUGCUGUCCAGAGUCCCUGCACCAUCAACAGAGGAACUUCUACAACACCUACGGACUUGCGGUGAUGGUAAAACUUUGCCACAGACAUAGGUGUUGGGGGAGGCAAGAGAAAACCCAAAACAUUAUUUUUGUGUUUCCUGUUAAGGUUAGGG